AGAAGUCUCUCUGGUACAGCGCCAGGUCGGGGGGAGAAGGGAAGACGCAGAAGAAACGCGAGAACAAACUAUGCAGCAACCAAAGCUUUCGGUGCACGAAGUGGAGAAGAGCCCACACUGCCCGAGCCCCUGAGGCAGGAGCGAGCCCCCGGGAAACGACGGGCUGAGGGGGAGGGGGGACGACACCUGCCUGACAGGGCUGGGCUGGCACCCGGACCUCGGAACUCCAGAAAAAGGCCGAGGGAAGGCCUCGGUGCGGGCCCGCUGCCGCCCCACGGCCACAGCGCUGCCGGAGCGGGACUCGCCGCACCCCACAGCCGGACGGGCCCUCCCCAGCGCGGGGCGGGCGUCUCCGCGGGGCGAAGGGGGGCUGAGGGAAACGGCCGCGCAUCGCCGGGUCCGCCGGCAGCCGGCACCGCCCGCUCGCCCCCGCCGCGAUCGCGGAGCUCGGCGGCCGGCGACAGGCCCGGGCCGGGGCGGCAGGCCCGAGGCGGGGAGAAGACACGGCUCGACGAAGCGCUGCUAGCCGCGCGGAGCCGACGGGAGCAGCCGACGAGCAGCAGCCGCUGCCCGCGGGUGAGAGCGACCCCGGUCCAACCGCCCGCCCGCCCGCUUACCUCGCGCCAGGGCAGAGGACGUGCGGCGGCGCUGAGCCGCCCUCCGCGCCGGGCUGCCAGCUGCGGGCUCGGGGCGGGGGGAGGAGGGGCGGGCCGGAGCGGGGGGGAGGGGGGCGGAGCGCGGCGCGGCUCACAUCCGGGUACUGCCGCGGGGAGGAGGUGCGCGUGCGCAGUAGGGCGCCUCCCUGAGAGAAGUCAGGCUUCGGCCUCGAGUGGUGGUGGUGUUUGCUGCGCGGCUGGGAGCGGUGUUGAGGCGGGUGCUUCUUUCACGCUGUCCUCUGGGAUGAAGCGCCUGCCCCAGCGAGGGGGAAAACUGGGCUUAUUCGUUGACUGGUGGUGGAAUGACUGCAUGCAUAGAAUCAUUAAAGGUUGGAAAAGACAGCUAAGAUCAUCUAGUUCAGCCAUUAGCCCACCUCCACCAUGCCCACUAACCAUGUCCCUCAGUGCCACAUCCACAUGGUUCUUGAACGCCUCUAGGGAUGGUGACUCCACCACCUCCUUGGGCAGCCUGUGCCAGUGCCCAGUCUCUCUUUCUGAGAAGUUUCUCCUAAUAUUCAACCUGAACCUCCCCUGGUGCAACAGGAUACCACCACUUCUUGUCCCAUCGCUGUUACCUGACCACAUUUGGCAGCAAGAUGCUGGCAGCUGGACAAGUUCUGUGCUGCGCUUCACAGAUCAUUUUAUAGCAUAA
This 1308-nucleotide long non-coding RNA is filed under the name Numida meleagris (helmeted guineafowl). RNAcentral's name for it is "lncRNA (ENSNMEG00000011681.1)". Lineage: Eukaryota; Metazoa; Chordata; Aves; Galliformes; Numididae. The record is from RNAcentral.